This 126-nucleotide small RNA is filed under the name Marmota monax (woodchuck). The record is from RNAcentral. Lineage: Eukaryota; Metazoa; Chordata; Mammalia; Rodentia; Sciuridae.
GCUGGGUGCAGUGGCGCAGACCUGUAAUCCCAGGGGCUCUGGAGGCUGAGGCAGGAGGAUCAUGAGUUCAAAGCCAGCCUCAGCAACAGCAGGGUACUAAGCAAACUCAGUGAGACCUUGUCUCUA